Arabidopsis thaliana (thale cress) is the source of this 202-nucleotide long non-coding RNA. RefSeq annotates it as other RNA. The record is from RefSeq. The transcript has a single exon. Lineage: Eukaryota; Viridiplantae; Streptophyta; Magnoliopsida; Brassicales; Brassicaceae.
CUUCUUCAACGAGAACAUUCCAUCUUUCUCCACUCACAACACCGUCUCUUACACACUUAAAGAUCACUCCUUUUCUCUUACUAAACACUCCUCUCACUUCUAAGCCAGUGAACGCAUAAAUCACUUCAAAGGAACCAAUAAAGCCAUCUCCAAAGCUUUUCUCUUCUUCAAACAACCAUCUCGGAUUGAUCAUUACUACAGG